GAUGAAGAACGCAGCGAAAUGCGAUACUUGGUGUGAAUUGCAGAAUCCCGUGAACCAUCGAGUCUUUGAACGCAAGUUGCGCCCGAAGCCAUUAGGCCGAGGGCACGCCUGCCUGGGCGUCACACGUCGUUGCCCCCCCAUCUACUCCUUCGGGAUUGCGGGGGGCGGAUGAUGGCCUCCCGUGCGCCUCGUCGCGCGGUUGGCAUAAAUGCCAAGUCCUCGGCGACGCACGCCACGACAAUCGGUGGUUGCGAAACCUCGGUUGCCCGUCGUGUGCGGUCGUCGCGCAUNNNNNGCUCGAAAAAAUUGCCGGGCUCCGGCUCGGCUUUCAACGCGACCCCAGGUCAGGCGGGGUUACCCGCUGAAUUUAAGCAUAUCAAUAAGCGGAGGA
Molecule: unclassified non-coding RNA, 391 nt
Filed under: soil metagenome
Description: partial contains 5.8S ribosomal RNA, internal transcribed spacer 2, and large subunit ribosomal RNA
Rfam family: 5.8S ribosomal RNA (bases 1-122)
Source: RNAcentral